AGGUCCCUGGUAGUUUUAGUUCCUCGUUUGUUGCCUCUCUCGGGAGAUCUCCGUCUCCUCUUCUUUCUCCUCUCCAGCGGCGAAUGCUUCUUCCCCAACCCCGCCGGAGCUUCUCCUCCCGUCGUCCUCCGCCUGGGGUUCCAAUCCAUGAUGCCAUCUCUGGCUUCAAUGUUUUGCCAUCUCUGGGAACCGCGAUAGUGUUUUUAGGAAAAGGUGCUGCCUUUAUUGCCAUGCUGUCCUUGUAUGACAGGGAAGAGAGUAGUGGAAGUACGGUAGGAAUCAUCAAGAAUGUCGCUCAUCUGCACCAUGUUCGAAGUUUUUGUGUGCACGCGGCUCAUCUGCGCGAGAAUCCACCUCAGGAACUCAAGAAUGUCGCUCGCUGCCGACAUCGCCAGAUCUGACCUUGCCAUUGUUGGCUCUUUUGCUUGUGCCUUGUAGACUACCAAGAGAAGGAUGUCUUGCGCAUUCUACCUUUCUGUCGGCAUACUUUCCAUGUCGUUUGCGUCGAUAUAUGGCUUAAACAGCAUUCAACUUGCCCUGCCUGUAGAAUUUCCUUGCGAGACUCCCCUGAUAGAAAGCGCUUGAUGGAGCCCUCUACUGCCCAACUGCAAGAUCCUUUUCUCCAUCAGAAACUUUUGUUUCGGAUCCAUGCCAGUCUCAGUUCUCAGACUCCGGUUUUUCUGUUAGUCGAAGAAACCUAGAGAACUCUAUGGUGGGACGUCAAAAAGAGUCGGCCAAAUUCUUUGCUUCUCAAAUAUUAGGAAACCACUAUGCUUGUGAUUGAAUUCCAUGCAUUUAAAUAGCACCGAAAGAUUUUAGAAGCUAA
Long non-coding RNA from Zingiber officinale, 826 nucleotides. RefSeq lists it as uncharacterized. NCBI's taxonomy places the organism in Eukaryota, Viridiplantae, Streptophyta, Magnoliopsida, Zingiberales, Zingiberaceae. The transcript is spliced from 2 exons. The record is from RefSeq and is a predicted model, not a curated record.